RNAcentral lists this ribosomal RNA (254 nucleotides) under uncultured bacterium. RNAcentral's name for it is "partial 16S ribosomal RNA". It matches the Rfam family "Bacterial small subunit ribosomal RNA", at positions 524 to 776 of the family's 1533-position model. The record is from RNAcentral.
UACGUAGGGGGCGAGCGUUGUCCGGAUUCAUUGGGCGUAAAGAGCUCGUAGGCGGCUUGGCAAGUCGGGUGUGAAACCUCCAGGCUCAACCUGGAGACGCCACCCGAUACUGCUAUGGCUAGAGUCCGGUAGGGGACCACGGAAUUCCUGGUGUAGCGGUGAAAUGCGCAGAUAUCAGGAGGAACACCGGUGGCGAAGGCAAUCCCCUGGGCCUGCACUGACGCUCAUGCACGAAAGCGUGGGGAGCAAACAGG